Molecule: ribosomal RNA, 465 nt
Filed under: uncultured bacterium
Lineage: Bacteria
Description: partial 16S ribosomal RNA
Rfam family: Bacterial small subunit ribosomal RNA
Source: RNAcentral
CCUACGGGUGGCAGCAGUGGGGAAUAUUGCGCAAUGGGCGAAAGCCUGACGCAGCGACGCCGCGUGAGGGAUGACGGUCUUCGGAUCGUUAACCUCUGUCAGCAGGGAAGAACGGUCACUGUGCUAAUCAGCAGUGAAUUGACGGUACCUGCAAAGGAAGCACCGGCUAACUCCGUGCCAGCAGCCGCGGUAAUACGGAGGGUGCGAGCGUUAAUCGGAAUUACUGGGCGUAAAGCGCUCGUAGGCGGUAUGUCAAGUCAAGGGUGAAAUCCCCGCGCUCAACGUGGGAACUGCCUUUGAAACUGGCAAACUGGAGUGUGUGAGAGGAUAGUGGAAUUCCAGGUGUAGGAGUGAAAUCCGUAGAUAUCUGGAGGAACAUCAGUGGCGAAGGCGACUAUCUGGCACAUAACUGACGCUGAGGAGCGAAAGCGUGGGUAGCAAACAGGAUUAGAUACCCGAGUAGUC